GUGCCAGCAGCCGCGGUAAUACGUAGGUGGCGAGCGUUGUCCGGAUUUACUGGGCGUAAAGGGUGCGUAGGCGGAUGUUUAAGUGGGAUGUGAAAUCCCCGGGCUUAACCUGGGGGCUGCAUUCCAAACUGGAUAUCUAGAGUGCAGGAGAGGAAAGCGGAAUUCCUAGUGUAGCGGUGAAAUGCGUAGAGAUUAGGAAGAACACCAGUGGCGAAGGCGGCUUUCUGGACUGUAACUGACGCUGAGGCACGAAAGCGUGGGUAGCAAACAGGAUUAGAUACCCUGGUAGUCC
Molecule: ribosomal RNA, 292 nt
Filed under: uncultured microorganism
Description: partial 16S ribosomal RNA
Rfam family: Bacterial small subunit ribosomal RNA
Source: RNAcentral